AUACGUAGGAUCCGAGCGUUGUCCGGAUUUACUGGGCGUAAAGGGUGUGUAGGCGGUAUGGUAAGUCUCAUGUGAAAUCUCCCGGCUCAACUGGGAGGGGUCAUGAGAUACUGUCAAACUCGAGGGCAGCAGAGGAGAGCGGAAUUCCGGGAGUAGUGGUGAAAUGCGUAGAUACCCGGAGGAACACCCGUGGCGAAAGCGGCUCUCUGGGCUGUACCUGACGCUGAUACACGAAAGCGUGGGGAGCAAACCGGAUUAGAAACCCGGGUAGUCC
Molecule: ribosomal RNA, 274 nt
Filed under: uncultured bacterium
Lineage: Bacteria
Description: partial 16S ribosomal RNA
Rfam family: Bacterial small subunit ribosomal RNA
Source: RNAcentral